This 1201-nucleotide long non-coding RNA is filed under the name Marmota monax (woodchuck). Lineage: Eukaryota; Metazoa; Chordata; Mammalia; Rodentia; Sciuridae. The record is from RNAcentral.
AUUCUGGCUAGGCCGGGUCCUCCUCUGCCAGAGCCAACCUUCAGCCUGACUUCUAGAAUCACAGAGGCAAAUGGCCUGAGAACUUAGACUCACUCUAGCUUUCUUUUGAUGAGGGACUUCACAGAAGAGGCUGAGAGGGGCCGGAGGGAUGUUGAGUAGGGGUGCUUGAUGGAAAAUUACAAACCGAGAUUCUCACUUCACACCCCUCUGCUGCUGGGAAGUUCUAAAAGACAAAGAGGAAGCACAUGUAAAGGGAAAUUUCCCCUUCUCCCCACAACUUCCCCUCCCCCCACACCACCAGUAGCUGAAGAAACAUCUUUGUCUAGAAGAAGGCACUGUCCCUUCUGAAUGAAGGGCCAUGGGACAGUCUUGUCCCCAGUGCCUUGAGGGCAUGCUCAAGAGAGGUGACGAGGGACUCAUUCUGGAGAAGCUCAUUGGGCAUGCAGCACAAGGCACAUACUCCACACAGGCCCUUCAGCACUGCCGGCUGCCAGGCUAUUCCAGAGAAAUCCUAUCAGUGUACAUCAGUGCCAAGAGGUGCUGCUUAGGACCAGACCCUCCAUGUUCCGAGCCCCCGCUUCCAGAGGCAUCAUAACGAACAUCAACAGCUUCCCUUGAGCUCUUGGGCUAGUCCAGGCAAUGACCAACUUGUCUAUAAUAAUCCCUGCAAACUAUGGAUUAUUAACUUUUCCAGUGUGGGAAACUGAGGCUCGGCUCCUCACCUAACCGACCAGACUGGUAGGUGCUAGAGGAGAGGAGGAAAGCCAGCCCUGUCUGGCUGCAGACCUGAGUCCUCUCUGCAUCAUGUACCUUGAGAUACACACGCUCUGGGUGCUUUCUCUAGGAAAAUCCCAAGGAGAAGGUAGUGGUUCUAGAGCUCUGCCUGGAAGCCACAGAGGGCAGGUACUUGGUGGAAAACUCCAGUGUGUGAUUCACCCUCCUCCCGUGCCCUCAUCAGGGAGGCCAACUCCCCUCCCGAGUUUUCAGUCUUCAGCCUGGGAGGUGGUGGCUUCCAUCUGCUGCUCUGGUAAGAGAGGGCUGUCCCUUGCCUAAGAAGGGGAUGGUACUGUGGUGGGGGGCAGAGGGAGAAAGAGAAGGGGCAAAGAACAAGAGGGGAGAUGAGGGCAGGAUGUGAGGGUCUAAGCCCCUUCCCCCGCUCAGCCCAGCUCCGGAGGGGACAGGACAUCUUGGGACAGUGCCA